GAUGAACGCUGGCGGCGUGCCUAAUACAUGCAAGUAGAACGCUGAAGGAAGGAGCUUGCUCUUUCCGGAUGAGUUGCGAACGGGUGAGUAACGCGUAGGUAACCUGCCUGGUAGCGGGGGAUAACUAUUGGAAACGAUAGCUAAUACCGCAUAACAGUAGAUGUUGCAUGAUAUCUACUUAAAAGGUGCAAUUGCACCACUUCCAGAUGGACCUGCGUUGUAUUAGCUAGUUGGUGAGGUAACGGCUCACCAAGGCGACGAUACAUAGCCGACCUGAGAGGGUGAUCGGCCACACUGGGACUGAGACACGGCCCAGACUCCUACGGGAGGCAGCAGUAGGGAAUCUUCGGCAAUGGACGGAAGUCUGACCGAGCAACGCCGCGUGAGUGAAGAAGGUUUUCGGAUCGUAAAGCUCUGUUGUAAGAGAAGAACGAGUGUGAGAGUGGAAAGUUCACACUGUGACGGUAUCUUACCAGAAAGGGACGGCUAACUACGUG
RNAcentral lists this ribosomal RNA (497 nucleotides) under uncultured bacterium. RNAcentral describes it as "partial 16S ribosomal RNA". It matches the Rfam family "Bacterial small subunit ribosomal RNA", at positions 28 to 507 of the family's 1533-position model. The record is from RNAcentral.